Molecule: ribosomal RNA, 456 nt
Filed under: uncultured bacterium
Lineage: Bacteria
Description: bacterial SSU rRNA
Rfam family: Bacterial small subunit ribosomal RNA
Source: RNAcentral
AUCGUAACUCCUACGGGAGGCAGCAGUGGGGAAUAUUGGACAAUGGGCGAAAGCCUGAUCCAGCAAUGCCGCGUGAGUGAUGAAGGCCUUAGGGUUGUAAAGCUCUUUUACCCGGGAUGAUAAUGACAGUACCGGGAGAAUAAGCCCCGGCUAACUCCGUGCCAGCAGCCGCGGUAAUACGGAGGGGGCUAGCGUUGUUCGGAAUUACUGGGCGUAAAGCGCACGUAGGCGGCUUUGUAAGUUAGAGGUGAAAGCCCAGAGCUCAACUCUGGAACUGCCUUUAAGACUGCAUCGCUUGAAUCAUGGAGAGGUCAGUGGAAUUCCGAGUGUAGAGGUGAAAUUCGUAGAUAUUCGGAAGAACACCAGUGGCGAAGGCGACUGACUGGACAUGUAUUGACGCUGAGGUGCGAAAGCGUGGGGAGCAAACAGGAUUAGAAACCCUUGUAGUCCUAGAGC